Triticum aestivum (bread wheat) is the source of this 1693-nucleotide long non-coding RNA. RefSeq lists it as uncharacterized. The transcript is spliced from 7 exons. Lineage: Eukaryota; Viridiplantae; Streptophyta; Magnoliopsida; Poales; Poaceae. The record is from RefSeq and is a predicted model, not a curated record.
CCACCGGAGCCGCCCCGCCGCGCCCGUGGAACUGCAGUACUUCUUCCCCGUCUUCCACUUGGGCUCUAACUACGGCCUCCGCUUUGUGCACUCGGAUGCAAUCACAGCCCCACCAUUGCUAGCCUCGCCUCCCACCAGAUCAACUAAGGAAUCAAUCUUACGAUGGCUGAUGCUCAAUGCAGCGGAGGAUUACAGGUGUAUUGUCGGUAGUUUCAAUUUAAUCGGGUGGUCGUCAUCACCGUGAGGCCGCCGAUGUUUUUGUAACCCCCUAAUUUUGAUGUUUUAAAGUCAGAGUUAGUGAAGUUUGGUUGCUUAUAGCUAGACGAGUGAGCUUAAAAGUAGACUUAUUGUUGUGGUUGUACAAAAGUUUUUGUUUCUGUUCUUGUUGUCUAUGCCCUUUACACAUUGACUGAUGUUUGUUUCUGCCAUCUGAAAAAGCCUUUUCUACCACAGUGUUAUCCCUCGGCGUCAUUCUCAACAAGCACCAGGACAUGGCUUUGUUUCUGCCAAGUAUGUAUAUAUAGAAAAUAUUUAUUCUGCAGAAAUUUGCUAAUUAUUACUAUAGCUUUGAUGCCUACUAGACCAAAUCAAAGGCAGGUGCUUUGUUUAUCAAGUGAAGUAAGUCAAACUGUUAUAGUAGGAGGAUUAUCCUAACAUAACAGUCUUUAUUUGUUUCAUAGAAAUCAUGUACAGUUGGUUCAGACAACGCUUAGCAUAGAUCAAGUUCAGUUGCUCUUGCAUUCUUAGAUCGAUGUUAAAAGGCACAUUGUGAUCUCAUAACGAGCGUUCUAACUGUCAUUUUUAAAAACAGAGUCUGCUAUUUUCCGAAACGAAAUAUGAGAAAUCAAACCGUAUGGUUCUCUAAUUUUAUGGUACUAAAUUUAGAUAUAUUAUAGGCACUAUUAUGAUAGCUUCAUUUAGUUUACAUGAGCAUGCCAAGCUAGAUGAUAUUAUAGGCCUUUAGGUGUUGCUAUUCUCUAUUGUCGGCCACAUCUUAAAUUGUAGUUAUUGGUGUUGUUCUUAAGCACAACCCAAAAUGAUGUGCAUCAAUUGCAUAUUUUUCUAAACCUACCAAAUUUGACCUGUGCUAAUUUUUUCCUUUUAAUAAAAUAGGUUCACCUUCAAAUUUGUAUUUUUCGGUUUUUCCUUCUAUACUAAAUGUGUUUCUGAAAGAGGAUGUCAACAGAGCAUACAGAAGGAGGAGAGAGCAGUAGCGAGAGAGGAGAAGUUAAGAACAAGACACAUGCUUCAGAUUAACUCCUAUUUCUGAACCAAUAUGCUUCUGAUGAUUGAAUUAGAUUAAAAAGUUUUCAGGUUGACCUUUCCAACAAGUAUUAACAUAAUCAGUGGCAGGGCGCCCACGAUCAUCCGUGAUUUGCGUUGAAGUGAGAUAAGAAUCGGGAGAGGAAGGAAAGAGAGGAGGAAGCAUAAUCUUGGGAGUAAGGAAGAUGCUGACAGCUUCUGCAUCCACAAAGUCCAUGUUCAGAAAAGGCAAAAACUAAUCCUUGAGCAAGCUUACUCCUGCAAAUGUUGACCAUCAAACAAUCCUCUUCAUGCCCUGUUGAAAAUAAUUUCUCCACCCAAUGGCAUCUAUCGAGAGCAGGUUGGGCGGCAGCUUGGCAGCCGGAGCAGGCUUCUAUACCUCGGCGUUCUAGGCCGCCGCGGCCAGGAGCUACGUCGGGCAGGCUGGCGU